This 1234-nucleotide long non-coding RNA is filed under the name Triticum aestivum (bread wheat). RNAcentral's name for it is "long non-coding RNA (TAES_LNC019687)". The record is from RNAcentral. Lineage: Eukaryota; Viridiplantae; Streptophyta; Magnoliopsida; Poales; Poaceae.
CUUUGGCCUCUCCUCCGAUUGACAGGAUGCUGAAGCUACACUAUUGCUGAUGGCCCCUUGGCUAGCUUCUCUUAUCGGAUUGGCAGGCUGUUGCAGCUACCAACCAAAUACAUCCACACAGGUUUGUAUGCAGCUCCCACAAGGACCUAGGCACACACAAAUGGCCAGCAUAGUUAGCACCAAUUAACAGGGGCCAAAAUAAGCAGACAUGCCACACACAAAAAGAAUCAAACGACAGUUUAUCACUGGAACAGAGACAUAGAAGAGAGCCAAAAAUCCCCCAUGGCUUUGUCGAUGGGGGAUGAUCACAGCAAUCUGGACGCUGCAUGUAUCUCUAGAUGGAUAAUGGCAACAAAAAACACAUGCGAGCAACCAAAAGAAAGAGAACAUCGUAAAUAAAAUCAAAAUAAGGGUGCAAACAUAAAAGCAAUUCAAAUAAAGUAGCAUGGAUCCUAUCUCAGAUAUUUCCCAAGGCAAACCAUAUUUCAAUAUCCCAAAGAGAAAGAUUAGAAAUGUGUCAUCACAAGAAAAUUGCUCAGUGGAUGCAUGGCAGCAUACUAUCAGCAAACAUACCCAGCAACCUGAGAUUAAUACUCACAAUUCAAGAGCUUCCAUGAAAGUUGUGAAUUUAUACAAACAGAAAGGUAUAUAGGACUUGAUACUAACUUAGAAUCACAAGAUUCAACCGAUUUUGUAAAGGAAAUGGCAAAGAACCAUGACCUAUCAUCACCUGAGGGUUCUUCCCGUAAGUAGAACAACGUUCACGCUUAGCAUGCUUAUUUCAGAAAGCUAUCUCCGCUAGUAGUUGGUAGUAAGUUAAGAACCAAUAGACUGCAUUAAAGAUACUUGAAAAAAGGGCACACAUUAGGUGUUUUGAAUCUUGGGUAAAAAUGGUAGUACGAACAAUAAUAAUGGAGAUAAUCAUCUUUCGUAUACAGGUACAUUCAAAACACAUAUAGUAUAGUGGGAUAGAAAUAUUGAGAAACAACAACAGCAAAGGCAAACUACAUCUAUGACCAUGAGCCAUAAUAGGGAAACCCAUCAGGCAAAUAUAUUGUUUGUAAGGGCCUAUCCUGCAAUUUAAAAGACAUGUAAUGAAGAAAACAGAUGCUGAAAGACUAACCUCAACCAGCGUCAUGGGCUGCGGAAAUAGCUGUUAAUCAGCCAAAGGAGCAAGGUGGAGCAAUCGAGCGAAAGGGAGGGAGGUCCACACAUUUGCAGAUGAACCAGUGAC